RNAcentral lists this ribosomal RNA (762 nucleotides) under uncultured fungus. RNAcentral describes it as "eukaryotic LSU rRNA". It matches the Rfam family "Eukaryotic large subunit ribosomal RNA", at positions 30 to 821 of the family's 3401-position model. The record is from RNAcentral. Lineage: Eukaryota; Fungi.
GAACUUAAGCAUAUCAAUAAGCGGAGGAAAAGAAACCAACAGGGGUUGCCUCAGUAACGGCGAGUGAAGCGGCAACAGCUCAAAUUUGAAAUCUGGCCGCAAGGUCCGAGUUGUAAUUUGUAGAGGAUGCUUUUGGCGAGGUGCCUUCCGAGUUCCCUGGAACGGGACGCCAUAGAGGGUGAGAGCCCCGUACGGUAGGACCACCAAGCCUCUGUAAAGCUCCUUCGACGAGUCGAGUAGUUUGGGAAUGCUGCUCUAAAUGGGAGGUGUACGUCUUCUAAAGCUAAAUACCGGCCAGAGACCGAUAGCGCACAAGUAGAGUGAUCGAAAGAUGAAAAGCACUUUGAAAAGAGGGUUAAAAAGUACGUGAAAUUGUUGAAAGGGAAGCAUUCAUGACCAGACUUGGGCUUGGUUGAACAUCCGGCGUUCUCGCCGGUGCACUCUGCCAGUCCAGGCCAGCAUCAGUUUGCCCCGGGGGAUAAAGGCGGCGGGAAUGUGGCUCCCUUCGGGGAGUGUUAUAGCCCGUCGUGUAAUGCCCUGGGGCGGACUGAGGAACGCGCUUCGGCACGGAUGCUGGCGUAAUGGUCAUCAAUGACCCGUCUUGAAACACGGACCAAGGAGUCGUCUUCGUAUGCGAGUGUUCGGGUGUCAAACCCCUACGCGUAAUGAAAGUGAACGUAGGUGAGAGCUUCGGCGCAUCACCGACCGAUCCUGAUGUUCUCGGAUGGAUUUGAGUAAGAGCAUACGGGGCCGGACCCGAAA